This 64-nucleotide small nucleolar RNA is filed under the name Euglena gracilis. RNAcentral's name for it is "Eg-m166 box C/D methylation-guide". The record is from RNAcentral. Lineage: Eukaryota; Euglenozoa; Euglenophyceae; Euglenales; Euglenaceae.
UCGCUGAUGACUGUGUUCCCAUGACCUUCCUGGAUGUAUUGAUGCUGAUGUGAGGAGUCUGAUU